GUAUUGACCUUCACCAUGGCAUGGUUGUUUGUGCCAGAUGGGCUGGUUUGAGUAUGCUGGACUGCACAUCACCUAGGAUUUUCACACACAACUGUCUCUUGAGUUUACACAGAAUGGUGUGAAAAAACAAAAAACAUCCAGUGAACAGCGGAUCUGUGGGUGGAAAUGCCUUGUUGAUGAGAGUGGAGAGGUCAGAGGAGAAUGGCAAGACUGGUUCAAGCACUGAAACUCUGCUGUGUGUUGUUUGAAGUUCAGGCUUUAUUCAGCAAGCUUGCGGUGAGCCUCCUGGCUUUUGCUUUCUCUUCUGCCAUGGCCUGGAGUCAAUCCCCAUUUUGACUGUACUGCUGCCUCUAAAAAUGGAUGGAGUUAGAACCAGAAUCUACAAAGUUUCCAGAUGACGCCAACACCUGAAAAGACUUCGGAUGAUACCAACGCUCUGCACGUGUUGUUCCUGGGAUAGCAGUGGGCCUGAACCAUUCUGCUCUGUACCGUCCUGGUGCCCUGCUUCUGGAGUUGUCGUCACUUGGAGGCCAGUCGCUGUUGCUGAGGAUUGCACAAUAUGGAGCCUAGAGACACAUGGAAGCCGUGGAGAUGGCCUGCAAGUGAUGCGGGCAGUUUUGGUGCGGUGUCUUUUUUCGCCCAGGUCUCCAUCAGUGGACAGUGCAUAAUUUCAGCAGAAGAGACUUCAUGUUGAGACUGUAGUGAAUCUCCUGAUUACACAGCUGCACUUUUGUUUGAUCAUGUAGUGCACAGUUAUAAAAGGGAUUUAUUAAUAAUUACACUAUCCAUUGUUACCCAGAUGAAGAUGGGUUCCCUUAUGUGACCGGUUCCUCUCAAAGUUUCUUCCUCAUAUCAUCUCAGGGAAUUUUUCCUUGCCACCAUUACCGUCAUUACCGUGGCUUGCACAUUGGGCACAAAUUUAUCAAUUUAAAAUUUAGAUUGGAACUUUAUUAGAGAUGCACUGAUACUAAAUUUCUCAGCCGAUACCGAUAACCGAUUAUUCAGAGUGAUAUCAGCCGAUACUGAUACCAAUAGUUCUGCCUUUUAUGCCUUCUUCUAAAUUAAUAAUAAUUAAUUCCACAAUUCUGAAAAAAGCUAAUAAAAAUGUUAUUCUCUCCAUUUCAAUAAGUUUUUUCAUAGUAACUGGUCUCAUAAACAGA
Ictalurus punctatus (channel catfish) is the source of this 1160-nucleotide long non-coding RNA. The record is from Ensembl. NCBI's taxonomy places the organism in Eukaryota, Metazoa, Chordata, Actinopteri, Siluriformes, Ictaluridae.